UACGGAGGGUGCAAGCGUUAUCCGGAUUCACUGGGUUUAAAGGGUGCGUAGGCGGGCAGGUAAGUCCGUGGUGAAAUCUCUGAGCUUAACUCAGAAACUGCCAUGGAUACUAUUUGUCUUGAAUAUUGUGGAGGUAAGCGGAAUAUGUCAUGUAGCGGUGAAAUGCUUAGAUAUGACAUAGAACACCAAUUGCGAAGGCAGCUUACUACACGAAUAUUGACACUGAUGCACGAAAGCGUGGGGAUCAAACAGG
Molecule: ribosomal RNA, 253 nt
Filed under: uncultured bacterium
Lineage: Bacteria
Description: partial 16S ribosomal RNA
Rfam family: Bacterial small subunit ribosomal RNA
Source: RNAcentral